UAUAUGGCUAAUUUGGAGAUUUUUGUUGAGCGUAUAAUAAAAUGUAGAUGGUGUAUGAAUUAUUAAUUAACGAAUGUAUGAUAUGAAACAUACAGAUCAUACCUUGGGGGCAGUACGUUAACAACACAAAAUAUCUCUGAAUAUGAUAUAUCUCCCCAAAAGAGGCGUGGUUUGUCAAACAUCUGUAUUUACAGGUGCAAUCUGUACAUAGAAGAUAAAAUAUCGGUACAUUGUAGAUGUCUACGGACUGUUUUUUUUUCUUGGUAUGUCUUUUUGUAUUUUGAAGAAAACAAAGUAUUACAAAAAUCUUUUACCUUGAGACAGAAAAUAAAUAUCUUGAUACUUUGUUGAGGUUAAAGAGCUUACCUGUUUUGGUAUAUAUUUGUAUUUUGAAAUAAAAUAGUGUAUAAAUAGAACACUACAGGAAAUUAUCAUUAUUGAUCUAUUAAUUUGAAGAUAUUCAUGAUGGUUAAAAAAUGUCUCCUAUAUUGAUAUUCAUAUGUUUUUGUUUCUUUUCUCACUCAAGGCCAAGAACUGUAUUUCCUGAAUAGUGUACAUGUACGGUGAAUCAGAUCUAAAUGAAAUGACAUGGCUGCGAAAAAGAAGAUCCCGCACGGCGAACGGAAUCUCAACUUAUCCCAGGAUUUUACUGCAGGUCGAGAGAAAUACAGUGAUGCUAGAUAUCUAUUACAAUGUAAUCCUAGAGGGGUGCAAUCUUUAGAUAGAAGAUGAAAUAUCGGUACAUUUAGUCUUGCAAAAGGUCAAAUACGGACCUGUCAAAGACAUUUUGCAGGUAUAUAAGUAUUUAUGAAGUACUAGGAACGUGAUAUUCUUUAUACACUUUUCAUCAGUUGUCAUGUCUCCAUUCUGACAGGACUUGGCUGCGAAAAUGAAGAUCCCGGACGGCAAACAAAUCCUCAACUUAAAGGAUUUUACUGCAGGUCGUGCGAAAAGCAACGAUACUUUAUUUUCAUCCCCAUGUCAUCAUAGGAGAUGUGAAAAAAUUAGUAUCACUACGUUACAGCUGAAUUUUUAUAAUAUUGCUAAUGUCUUGAGACGUAUUAAAUGUCUUGAGGCAUGCACAAUGUCUUGAGACAUAAUAAAUGUGUUGAGACAUAAAAAAUGUUUUGAGACAUAAAAAAUGUCUUGAGAUAUGGAAAAAUAUCUUAAGACAUAAAACAUGUCUUGAAAUAUGGAAAAAUGUCUUGAGACGUUAUGUUUGUAGUUCAUUAUAUAGAUGUCUUCGGACUGUUUUUUUAUGGUAUAUCAUAUUUGUAUUUUGAAGAAAACUAAGUCUUACAAAAAUGAGACAGAAAAAAAUUAUCUUGAUACUUUGUUGAUGUUUACGAGUUUAGCUGUAUCUGUAUUUAUUUGUAUGUUGAAAUAAAAUAUUGUAUAAAUAAAACACUACAGGAAAUUAUCAUUAGUGUUCUAUUUAUAAUGGUUAAAAAUUGUCUCGUAUAUUUAUAUUCAUAUGUUUUCGUUAAUUUUCUCACUUACAGUCCAAGAACUGUAUUUCCUGAGAAAUGUAGUUGUACAUGUACGGGGAAUCAGAUCUUAAAAAUGAAGUAUAUCUUAACAUAUAAAUGCAUGUUUUGAACGUUUAUUUUCGCGCAUGAUGCAAUU
Molecule: long non-coding RNA, 1626 nt
Organism: Mytilus trossulus (common blue mussel)
Lineage: Eukaryota; Metazoa; Mollusca; Bivalvia; Mytilida; Mytilidae
Exons: 3
Source: RefSeq, a predicted model, not a curated record